GAUGAACGCUGGCGGCGUGCCUAAUACAUGCAAGUCGAGCGAACGGACGAGAAGCUUGCUUCUCUGAUGUUAGCGGCGGACGGGUGAGUAACACGUGGAUAACCUACCUAUAAGACUGGGAUAACUUCGGGAAACCGGAGCUAAUACCGGAUGAUAUUUUGAACCGCAUGGUUCAAAAGUGAAAGACGGUCUUGCUGUCACUUAUAGAUGGAUCCGCGCUGCAUUAGCUAGUUGGUAAGGUAAUGGCUUACCAAGGCAACGAUGCAUAGCUGACCUGAGAGGGUGAUCGGCCACACUGGAACUGAGACACGGUCCAGACUCCUACGGGAGGCAGCAGUAGGGAAUCUUCCGCAAUGGGCGAAAGCCUGACGGAGCAACGCCGCGUGAGUGAUGAAGGUCUUCGGAUCGUAAAACUCUGUUAUUAGGGAAGAACAUAUGUGUAAGUAACUGUGCACAUCUUGACGGUACCUAAUCAGAAAGCCACGGCUAACUACGUG
RNAcentral lists this ribosomal RNA (497 nucleotides) under uncultured bacterium. RNAcentral's name for it is "partial 16S ribosomal RNA". It matches the Rfam family "Bacterial small subunit ribosomal RNA", at positions 28 to 507 of the family's 1533-position model. The record is from RNAcentral.